RNAcentral lists this non-coding RNA (212 nucleotides) under Holdemania filiformis. Its description in RNAcentral is "T-box sequence". It matches the Rfam family "T-box leader". Rfam says of the family: Uncharged tRNA acts as the effector for transcription antitermination of genes in the T-box leader family. T-boxes are found upstream of many aminoacyl-tRNA synthetase genes and some amino acid biosynthetic genes usually in Gram-positive bacteria. Lineage: Bacteria; Bacillati; Bacillota; Erysipelotrichia; Erysipelotrichales; Erysipelotrichaceae. The record is from RNAcentral.
CAAAAUUCAGUGAACAGGAGAGUAGCUUAAGAUAUCCAUCAGCGAGCCAAAACAGAGUGAAAGUUUGGCGGCACUGUCGAAAGCGAAGCGCACCUGGGAGAAGUUCAGAUGAAAAAAGUAGUCUGAAACGUGAGUCUGCGUUAACGAACGAGGGGGUCGGAACAGUGGUUUCCGGCAACUAGGGUGGUACCGCGAUGUGAGUCGUUCCUAGA